RNAcentral lists this long non-coding RNA (257 nucleotides) under Ananas comosus (pineapple). RNAcentral describes it as "long non-coding RNA (ACOM_LNC007399)". Lineage: Eukaryota; Viridiplantae; Streptophyta; Magnoliopsida; Poales; Bromeliaceae. The record is from RNAcentral.
CGUUGCAUGUAUCUACUAGCACAUGUUGGACUGAAAUUUGACUUAGGAGAAAACAACGAUUAUGACAUGUCAUAUGCUUAAACUACCUGAUUUAGCUCUAGGAACCGUUGUUAUUUUGUAUCACUGCAGUAUCAGUGUGGUGGAUAUCCCAGGUAGUUUAGAUUUCAGUUACGCUCGUGCUGGGAUGCCGAGUGUAUUUUUUACAGUAGUAUUCAGACUGUUCCGGACUGUUGGGGGCCGUCGGGGUUGACGGUGGA